GUAGGUGGCAAGCGUUGUCCGGAAUUAUUGGGCGUAAAGCGCGCGCAGGCGGUCCUUUAAGUCUGAUGUGAAAGCCCACGGCUCAACCGUGGAGGGUCAUCGGAAACUGGGGGACUUGAGUACAGAUGAGGAAAGCGGAAUUCCAAGUGUAGCGGUGAAAUGCGUAGAGAUUUAGAGGAACACCAGUGGCGAAGGCGGCUUUCUGGUCUGUAACUGACGCUGAGGCGCGAAAGCGUGGGGAGCAAACAGGGAUUAGAUACCCUGGUAGUCCACGCCGUAAACGAUGAGUGCUAAGUGUUAGGGGGUUUCCCGCCCCCUUAGUGCUGCAGCUAACGCAUUAAGCACUCCGCCUGGGGAGUACGGCCGCAAGGCUG
Molecule: ribosomal RNA, 374 nt
Filed under: uncultured organism
Description: partial 16S ribosomal RNA
Rfam family: Bacterial small subunit ribosomal RNA
Source: RNAcentral